This 492-nucleotide ribosomal RNA is filed under the name uncultured bacterium. RNAcentral describes it as "partial 16S ribosomal RNA". It matches the Rfam family "Bacterial small subunit ribosomal RNA", at positions 29 to 507 of the family's 1533-position model. The record is from RNAcentral.
AGUGAACGCUGGCGGUAGGCCUAACACAUGCAAGUCGAACGGCAGCACAGUAAGAGCUUGCUCUUACGGGUGGCGAGUGGCGGACGGGUGAGGAAUACAUCGGAAUCUACUUUUUCGUGGGGGAUAACGUAGGGAAACUUACGCUAAUACCGCAUACGACCUACGGGUGAAAGCAGGGGAUCUUCGGACCUUGCGCGAUUGAAUGAGCCGAUGUCGGAUUAGCUAGUUGGCGGGGUAAAGGCCCACCAAGGCGACGAUCCGUAGCUGGUCUGAGAGGAUGAUCAGCCACACUGGAACUGAGACACGGUCCAGACUCCUACGGGAGGCGGCAGUGGGGAAUAUUGGACAAUGGUCGCAAGCCUGAUCCAGCCAUACCGCGUGGGUGAAGAAGGCCUUCGGGUUGUAAAGCCCUUUUGUUGGGAAAGAAAAGCAGCAGGUUAAUACCCCGCUGUUCUGACGGUACCCAAAGAAUAAGCACCGGCUAACUUCGUG